CCUGACUGCUAUCGGAUUGGUACUAAGCCAUGUGAGUCGUUGUAGCAAUACAAGGCAUACGGCUCAGUAACACGUAGUCAAUCUAACCUAUGGACGGAGAUAACCUCGGGAAACUGAGGAUAAACCCCGAUAGAUCAUUAUACCUGGAACGGUUUAUGGUCCAAAUGAUUCGUCGCCGUAGGGUGGGACUGCGGCCUAUCAGCUUGUUGGUGAGGUAAUGGCCCACCAAGGCUAUUACAGGUACGGGCUCUGAGAGGAGAAGCCCGGAGAUGGGUACUGAGACACGGACCCAGGCCCUAUGGGGCGCAGCAGGCGAGAAACCUUUGCAAUGUGCGCAAGCACGACAAGGUUAAUCCGAGUGUUUCCUGCUAAAGGAAUCUUUUGUUAGUUCUAAAACCACUGAUGAAUAAGGGGUGGGCAAGUUCUGGUGUCAGCCGCCGCGGUAAAACCAGCACCUCAAGUGGUCAGGAUGAUUAUUGGGCCUAAAGCAUCCGUAGCCUGUUCUGUAAGUUUCCGGUUAAAUCCAUUAGCUCAACUAAUGGGCCGCCGAAAAUACUGCAGAACUAGGGAGUGGGAGAGGUAGACGGUACUCGGUAGGAAGGGGUAAAAUCCUUUGAUCUAUUGAUGACCACCUGUGGCGAAGGCGGUCUACCAGAACACGUUCGACGGUGAGGGAUGAAAGCUGGGGGAGCAAACCGGAUUAGAUACCCGGGUAGUCCCAGCUGUAAACGAUGCAGACUCGGUGAUGCCCUGGCUUGUGGCCAGUGCAGUGCCGCAGGGAAGCCGUUAAGUUUGCCGCCUGGGAAGUACGUACGCAAGUAUGAAACUUAAAGGAAUUGGCG
This 842-nucleotide ribosomal RNA is filed under the name uncultured archaeon. RNAcentral describes it as "bacterial SSU rRNA". It matches the Rfam family "Archaeal small subunit ribosomal RNA", at positions 21 to 870 of the family's 1478-position model. The record is from RNAcentral.